AUGCUGGACAUCAGACCAGAAGAGGACCUUGUGCUGCAAGGACACAAUGACCACAAGGAGCACUUCAGCAGUAAAGUGCCAUACUCUGCUGAACAAACUUGGCAUCUCGUCAAGCUGACUUAUUUGGGAUGGGAUUGGACCUUCACGUCCCUUUGCAUAGCUUCUCUUAGUGAAACCCCAAGAAUGCAGGCUAACCAAGGUGGAUACUGAAGAACCUGCCUUCUUCUAUACAUGAGGUAUAACUUCUUUUCCAUUCAGAGCCUUCUCUACUGAUGCUUGCUCUUUCCUGCAUAGCUUUUCAUCUUUGGCUGACUCUUUUCUGACAGUUCUCCAUUACACAGUAAUGUGAAUUUUUUAUGGAUUGAUGUUGAAAUGAUUUUCAGGGGCUACAGUGUCAUUUUUAUGCCCCUUACUUUGAAUUUUCCAGGAGAUCUGUCCGUUGAUUCGUUACAAACAGUAAAUUUAGGUGAUGGUCAAAGCUGAAUCACAUGAAAUAAAUACUCAAUUUCUAAACUGCUAACA
Molecule: long non-coding RNA, 522 nt
Filed under: Anser brachyrhynchus (Pink-footed goose)
Lineage: Eukaryota; Metazoa; Chordata; Aves; Anseriformes; Anatidae
Description: lncRNA (ENSABRG00000021878.1)
Source: RNAcentral